UUGCCUUCUUGUGUGCCUCACGGCAGGCGG
Molecule: small RNA, 30 nt
Filed under: Bombyx mori (domestic silkworm)
Lineage: Eukaryota; Metazoa; Arthropoda; Insecta; Lepidoptera; Bombycidae
Description: ovarian small RNA-9720
Source: RNAcentral